GGAGAGCGAAAGCCAAAUAAGAAAAACAAGCAAAGAGGAGAGGCGUGAGGGUGAAGGUGUGGGGUUUCAAAAACUUUUAAAUGAGAAAACAAAAUCUUAUGUAGUCUAAUAUUUUUAUUCUCUCUGUCAGAUGCACAGAAGGUCAAACAGGAAAAAAUGGUAAAAGUUGAAGGUGCAGGAUGAGAUUCAGGAGGUCCAAGAUGAGAUUCAAGAGGUACAAGAUAA
RNAcentral lists this long non-coding RNA (225 nucleotides) under Vigna radiata. Its description in RNAcentral is "long non-coding RNA (VRAD_LNC009580)". The record is from RNAcentral. Lineage: Eukaryota; Viridiplantae; Streptophyta; Magnoliopsida; Fabales; Fabaceae.